UCCCGGUUAACCCGGGCAGUCUCGCUAGAGUGCUCAACUAAAUGGUAGCAACUAACAAUAAGGGUUGCGCUCGUUGCGGGACUUAACCCAACAUCUCACGACACAAGCUGACGACAACCAUGCACCACCUGUCUUCCUGCCACCGAAGUGGCUUCCUCUAUUACGAGUAAUUCAGGAGAUGUCAAGUCUAGGUAAGGUUCUUCGCGUUGCUUCGAAUUGAACCACAUGCUCCACCGCUUGUGCGGGCCCCCGUCAAUUCCUUUGAGUUUUAGCCUUGCGGCCGUACUCCCCAGGCGGAGUGCUUAACGCGUUAGCUACGACACCUCCGGGGUCAAUACCAGAAACAUCUAGCACUCAUCGUUUACGGCGUGGACUAC
This 377-nucleotide unclassified non-coding RNA is filed under the name uncultured bacterium. Its description in RNAcentral is "contains 16S-23S intergenic spacer region". The record is from RNAcentral.